Molecule: ribosomal RNA, 1454 nt
Filed under: Lacticaseibacillus paracasei
Lineage: Bacteria; Bacillati; Bacillota; Bacilli; Lactobacillales; Lactobacillaceae
Description: bacterial SSU rRNA
Rfam family: Bacterial small subunit ribosomal RNA
Source: RNAcentral
UGCCUAUACAUGCAAGUCGAACGAGUUCUCGUUGAUGAUCGGUGCUUGCACCGAGAUUCAACAUGGAACGAGUGGCGGACGGGUGAGUAACACGUGGGUAACCUGCCCUUAAGUGGGGGAUAACAUUUGGAAACAGAUGCUAAUACCGCAUAGAUCCAAGAACCGCAUGGUUCUUGGCUGAAAGAUGGCGUAAGCUAUCGCUUUUGGAUGGACCCGCGGCGUAUUAGCUAGUUGGUGAGGUAAUGGCUCACCAAGGCGAUGAUACGUAGCCGAACUGAGAGGUUGAUCGGCCACAUUGGGACUGAGACACGGCCCAAACUCCUACGGGAGGCAGCAGUAGGGAAUCUUCCACAAUGGACGCAAGUCUGAUGGAGCAACGCCGCGUGAGUGAAGAAGGCUUUCGGGUCGUAAAACUCUGUUGUUGGAGAAGAAUGGUCGGCAGAGUAACUGUUGUCGGCGUGACGGUAUCCAACCAGAAAGCCACGGCUAACUACGUGCCAGCAGCCGCGGUAAUACGUAGGUGGCAAGCGUUAUCCGGAUUUAUUGGGCGUAAAGCGAGCGCAGGCGGUUUUUUAAGUCUGAUGUGAAAGCCCUCGGCUUAACCGAGGAAGCGCAUCGGAAACUGGGAAACUUGAGUGCAGAAGAGGACAGUGGAACUCCAUGUGUAGCGGUGAAAUGCGUAGAUAUAUGGAAGAACACCAGUGGCGAAGGCGGCUGUCUGGUCUGUAACUGACGCUGAGGCUCGAAAGCAUGGGUAGCGAACAGGAUUAGAUACCCUGGUAGUCCAUGCCGUAAACGAUGAAUGCUAGGUGUUGGAGGGUUUCCGCCCUUCAGUGCCGCAGCUAACGCAUUAAGCAUUCCGCCUGGGGAGUACGACCGCAAGGUUGAAACUCAAAGGAAUUGACGGGGGCCCGCACAAGCGGUCGAGCAUGUGGUUUAAUUCGAAGCAACGCGAAGAACCUUACCAGGUCUUGACAUCUUUUGAUCACCUGAGAGAUCAGGUUUCCCCUUCGGGGGCAAAAUGACAGGUGGUGCAUGGUUGUCGUCAGCUCGUGUCGUGAGAUGUUGGGUUAAGUCCCGCAACGAGCGCAACCCUUAUGACUAGUUGCCAGCAUUUAGUUGGGCACUCUAGUAAGACUGCCGGUGACAAACCGGAGGAAGGUGGGGAUGACGUCAAAUCAUCAUGCCCCUUAUGACCUGGGCUACACACGUGCUACAAUGGAUGGUACAACGAGUUGCGAGACCGCGAGGUCAAGCUAAUCUCUUAAAGCCAUUCUCAGUUCGGACUGUAGGCUGCAACUCGCCUACACGAAGUCGGAAUCGCUAGUAAUCGCGGAUCAGCACGCCGCGGUGAAUACGUUCCCGGGCCUUGUACACACCGCCCGUCACACCAUGAGAGUUUGUAACACCCGAAGCCGGUGGCGUAACCCUUUUAGGGAGCGAGCCGUCUAAAG